RNAcentral lists this transfer RNA (64 nucleotides) under Lype phaeopa. RNAcentral describes it as "tRNA-Asp". Lineage: Eukaryota; Metazoa; Arthropoda; Insecta; Trichoptera; Psychomyiidae. The record is from RNAcentral. RNAcentral also lists the same sequence under 2 other names.
AAAGAAUUAGUUAAUAAAUAACAUAAAUUUGUCAAAUUUAAAUAAUUAAAUAUAAUAUUCUUUU